CAGGCUGAACAAGCUGUGAAGGUGCACCUCGUUAGUGCAGCACAGGCCCAGAGGAGCUCAUUAGCCUCCUUCCUGGCCAGUGGGAGGCCAUGCUCCUUCACAGUAACAGAUAAACUCAUGAAUGACAUCAGUUAUUGUUCAUCUAGAGGUGCCUUCUUUACCCUCUCAAGCACAGGAACGUUUUAUUGCAGAUCCCAAUUCAGACUUCCUUCGCAGAAGCUGCUGAGUCCUGCUUCCUCUGGACUCAUUUCAAAGCCACUUUCCCAGUAGCCUGGACUCAUACAGUCCCCAGUGCCACUGGAUGAUCUCUGGUGUCUUGAGACCCCAUUCCUGGCACCUUCACUGAGAUGCCGGAACAACCCACCUCCAGCCAGCUGGAUUCAACUCUCCCCUCCAACAGUCCUCACUCAGCUGCUAGCAUUUGAACAGACAUUCCAUGGUGGCUCCUAGCAACCAAAUGGGCCUUUACAGAAUCCCCCGAUGUUAAAUCACCAUCUCGUAGCCAACCACAGGUUUUACAUCCCGCACCCCAUAUGUAAAAUAACAUUAGGUAAACGCAUUACCUAACAUUCUCCACAAGUGUGAUUAUUGAGCAAUACUCUGCCUCCGGCUUUGGGUGUAAGAGCCCCUGGAAGAACCUGGGUAGGUGUUGCAAGAGUUACGGUCCCAUACUGUUUUUGUGCUGACCUCAUUUACAAGGUCCUUCCCAUGAGAAAUUAUAGCACAGCCACAGGCAACUCAGUAGUAGGGCUCUCAGUUUUUCCAUUGCCCUGAUUUUUUACAAGGAACUUCAAAGGGUCUCCCAUAAGGAGCAUAAUUAAAGACUGAGAGCCUUGUGUUGGUUCACAGUGCUCUGGCUGUACUUGUUCCAGUGAUGUCAUGCCACACUCCAGGCUCUUCACUGAAAGACCCCUCCGGGUGCUUUCCUCCUGGAAUCUGACUCUUCUCUAGAGUGGAACAUGCAGCUCAGCUCUCUGUACUCCACAAAGCACCCCAGAUUGCCUUGUAUUAUUUAAAUGGGCAGUGCUCAUCCCUCCUGCCCAUAGAAAUGAACCACAGCAUUCAGUGAAAACACUCUGUAGUUUACAUGACAUAUGUGGGAUCUCUGAGGAUUUGUUUGAUUUGCUGCAUGUGAGCCCAGAAAUUUUGAAGAGUCAAGUGUUUUCCCCCUAAUUGUUGCUAACGGGGUGUUUUGCCCCAGCUGGGUGAAUGUGGACCCAUUCCUUUUAUCUGUAGGCAUGUCUGCCCAGCCACUCCCUAAAGAACAUUGCUCGUUGCUGCCCUCACCUGCCUCAGGCAGCAGUUUAUAUUUGCAGGUUAGUUCAAAGGGGAAAUACCAUGAACCCCCUUUUUAUGGAACUGUCUUCUUUUCUCUUACUCAGGGAGCUUCUUUCCUGUGCUUUACUACUCUCUAGAACAGCCUGAUUUAACAAAGAGGUAAGAGAACCUCUCUCCAUGAGACACUCAGCUCAAAAUGUACAAACUUGAUGGCUAAAUCCAUACCUGAGCAGCUAAAUAAAAGCCGGAGGGCCUUUUCCACAGUGUUGAAUGUGGACUUAGUUAGGAGCUAGAGGUACUCAGUUCCUCUGAAAAUCAGGUCACUGAUUUUGGUCCCUAAAGAGGUAUGUAAGUGCCUAACUUUAUUCAGCCAGGUUGGAAAGUGUUGGUCUAGGAAUGGAAAAUUGAGAUACUGGCUGCCAAAAGUGAGUGUUAGAAAAUACAGAGUAUUCUGAAGUUUGUAUGGAAGUCAACAGGGGAAUGCAGAUAAGAGCUGUAGGUGUGGAGUAGAAUCUGGACACUUAGGGCUUGUCUUCACAGGGAAGUUAGUGCAGAGUAGGUUAGGGUGUGAAUUUACAGCACACUAGUUUCUCCACGUGAACUCCUGUGAUGGGGUGAACCAGGCCCUCUGAAGCCGUCUGCUGAAAGCUUUCUGGUCUUGCCACACCUUGUCUCAGAAAGGAGCAGUGGAGGUAAGUCCUCCAAGCUGCAUAGAGAGGUUGCAGGAGAAACAGCCAAUCAGAGAGAGGCUGUGAGGAGCAGCCAAUCAGGGCCCAGCAGGCUCACAUAAAAGGAGCUGGAGGGCCAGAGACAAUCAGUUGCUGCCUAGAGCCAGAGGAGCAAGGAUGGUGUUCCUGGCUGGCUGUCUGAAGAAGUGGCAGGACUGUGAAUAGAGCAGUUGCUGGCAGAGACCAGAGGAGCAAGAAGGAGCUCCUGGCUGGCUGCUGGGACUGAGUACAAGACGUCAGCCCUACGGAUCCCUGAAAGAAGGGUGAACCUAGAGAGACCUUGGAGCCUGGGAGGAUAGUCAUGAAGCCCUGAGACAAGGGGGUACCUGAGAAUCUGGGCCCAGAGUCAGGGGCCAAAGACCUGACACAAUGUCGUUGGACUUCUGUUUAUUGGCGUUUAUUGUUACAUCAGAAGGGCUGAGACUUUCCAGUGACCUGAUGGGAGGGCUGAGUCAUGAGAAGAGAUAGACUACUGCACAAUCGGAGUGGCUGUUGGCAGGGGAGUGCUAGAUGAGGCAAAUCUGCUACACCACACCCUGCCAUGGGUGGAGACACCAACGGGGAGUUCACUCUUCUGCAAAGUGGUUGCUAUGUGGAAUAGCCCUGUGUGAUGACCUUGAGCUAAGACCACCUGGGAGAAGUCAGACUCUCGAUCUUUCCUGGGCUUGUCUGCCCUAUUUAUGGGCCAGGCAAGGAAGAGUUAAAGGCCUGGAAAAUCAAGGCAGCUGGAAUAUGUCAGUCUACCAGGCCCAGCUGCUUCACUUGCUAAGGAGGAAGAGGAAGACAGCAGCAGAGUGAGGAAGACGCUACCCUGGCCAGAGGGGAGAGUGGGCUGUUCAGACUGAGUAUUUUGAGAUUAUUUGUUUCCUGGAAGGGCAGCUCUUUAUUUUGGGUAUGUAAGAGCUCACAAUGUGACACUCCUGAAGAAACCCAAGGCAAUCUGAUUGGGUAGUAUGUGUGUAGUAUUCUGUUUAUGAGCAAAGAUUGAGGGCUUCAUAAAUACAACAUGUGAGUGGUAUUUGUUCUGGAGGAAAGGUGGAAGGGAAAUUGAAGUCACUGAAAGAGAGAUUCAGGAACCCCAAUCAGAUUGUGACCAAAGGGAAUGGUCACCAGAAGAUUCUUUUGAUGGGACAGAGGUGGAGAAUGAAGGAAGAUGGAGGGAUAUGAAUGGGCAAACCUUAAUUCUGGUAUUAACUAACUUUUGCAUGUUUGACUUUGAAACCUUAAUGUUCUUUUAAUGUAAAUUUUUUGGAUGUAGUUUUCUGAGGUUUUUAUUAGAGCAUAAGCCUUCCAGUCAUUUGUUCGGAUACAGACUAACACGGAUGCUACUCUGAAACCUAAGGUUUUUAUAAAACUUUAACAUUUUUUAAAAAAAAAUCACAUGGAAACAGAUUGAUCCCUGCCACGGGGUCCACUCAUCACGGGUGGUGCCUCCUCCUGGCUGCUCUGGGGAUUAGUUCUUUCCAGGCCCAAGACCCUCUUCUGCUGCUCACUGCACACCCUGCUGCUGCGGUCUCUCACUCUCUGUGGCUCAGGGUGUUCCCUCUCUGUGACUUGGCCCUCCUGCCAGGUCAUUGUGCAUGUUUCCCCCUUCUGGGGUGGAGCCCAUGGUUCCCCUAACCCCUGUCUCUGUCUUUACCCCGGUCUUCUCCUUCCCCCAUUCCUCAAUCUUGCUCCUAUCCCCCUCUGGUCUUCUUCCCUCCUCUGUCUCUGACUCUUCCCCCUUGUUUUUGCCUCUGUCCCCCCUUCUGGUUCCUGUUCCCACCCUUAUCACCACAAACCCCCCUCACCCCGCUGCAUUUGAAUAAGGGGCUUUCUUCCUUCCCCUCUUCCUCCUCACUGUCCGGACACCAGCAGGGAGGCAUUGAGAGCACAGGAGAGAUGGUGCCCCUGAUUUCCUCUGGUCCAGUGUCUGACAUCACAACAAUCUCUGGAAGCCAGGACAGGAAAUCACAGGGAAAGUCCUGCUUGGCCUCUGCAGGCCAGGGUGGAGCACACUCCAUCACUUUGUGGGAAUGGUUCAUUCACAGUCUGGGUGUACAUAGGAGCAGGGAGAGGAUGGAGCAUGCUCAGUGCAGGUUGAAUCUUUGGAGAAUUUAGCUGCACAAAUCUAACGGGUCUCAACUGAGUAUGGGCAAACAGAUUUUUCAAAGACUUAAAAUUUGACCAAAUUUGGGUGGUUUGUCACAGGAGUGGCAAAAGACACAUCCCUGGCACCAUUGCAUUUCCUCCUGCCAAUUUCAUGUCCCUGCUCCAAAGCAGAGUGGCACUGGAGUUUUUCAACCCAAUGAUUGUAAAAAAACAAUUAACAUGGACAAAACAAUGCGUUUCCGCCCUUGUUAGUUGAAAUGCCUGAACCACUUUAUCUGACAUUUAAAGUGAGCCUGAGACACACACCUGAUACGGAAGAUUUCAGCCUAAAUGGUUCAUGUCUGGCAAAGUUAUAAGCCACUGAAACAUGGUCUUAUAAUAGAAAAUGGUGGGCACCCUUCAGUACAGUGUCUCUACCUGCGCCACCCACAGUAUUCAUAAAUUCAUAGAGUUUCAGGCCAGAAAGCACCAUUAGAUCAGCUAGUCUGACCUCCGGUACUGCACAGGCCAUUAUGGGUUUUCAUUUCACCCAGUUAUUCCCAUGUUGAGCCCAAUAACUUGUGAGCAUAUCUCCCAGAAAGGCAUCAGCAAGUCUUGAUUUGAAACAUCAAGAGCUGGGGAAUCUACCACUUCCCUAGGGAGUUUGUUCCAAUGGUUGAUCAUCCUCUCUCGCACAAGUUUGCAUCUUCUUUCUAAUUUGCAUUUAUCUGGCUUCAGAUUCCAGCCAUUUGUUCUGCCUUGCUCUACUAGUAUUUUCUUUCCAUCCUCUCCCCCCUUCAUAAAGUGCGAACAUGGCAUCAGAGCUUUUUUGUUUUCCUUUUUUAAGGAAAAAAAAAAGGCGGGGGGAUUUUUUUACUAGGUUUUUACUAGUUUUGUCACUUUCCCUCCUCCCCUCCCAUCUGGUCUUUUUACCCUGAUGCUGAGCUGUAAAUGGGAAUCAGGCCUGUUAAGUCCCAACUUUCCUGUUGUUGCUGCAGGACAGGCAGCAUGGGGUGGGAUAAUGAUCUCACAGUAACUUGAAAGCUGAGCUGUGGGGUUGCCAACCAGUUUGUGAUGUCAUGUCCCACAGGUGUGCUAAUCCUCCUGCAGAAAUUAGCACCUACAGACUAACAUGGAAAGUCCAUUUCCCAAACAUGAUCCACAUGUUGGGUUUUGCACCAGGAAUGAAACACUGCAGGGAAUUGUCCUUGAAAAACAGACCCAGCCCCAGAGUCCUCAUACUGUAGUGUGGGGGCAUCGCCACCCUCUGAGAUUGACCGGGAGGAAUUGGAGGGCAAAGCCAGCACACCCCCACCCACCACGCCGGAAGCAGACGGGUGGGACAGGAAGUAUAAAAGACUGGCCCAGCUGAUCAGUCAGGCUGGAGCUGCCAAAGGUGACAGACACCUCCCACCCACCAUUGAGGCUGGAGCCUGAAGAGGACCCCUUUAGUGCUGAGGACGGGCCAGAGCUGCCUGAACUGCCUGCCGCCAGAGAAGCCAAGCAGCUGCUGGGACUGCUGCUGGCGGUGUACCCCGAGGAGAUGGAGGACAAUCCUCAGGUACAGGUACACUCUGAGGGGGAGUGUAGGAAGUAGCCCAGGGAUACCAGACUAUAGUCCAGUUGUGUUGUUGCCUGAAUAUAGGUCAGCGUGUUUUGGGCAGAUCCCUGCGGACCCAGUGGUGGAACACUCCACCACUGUUAGGGCCCUGGAGUGGGACCUAGUGGAGUAGGGUGGGCCCAGGUCCCCCUACCUCCUGCUGCCAACCCCACCUUUGAGGUGGCAGCCUCCCCACCUUAGGCCAGGAGGCCUGCAUUUGUCUGCCAUCUGCCAGAGCUAGGAUAUCAGACUGGUGCUGUGCCCUGCUUGUGGGCCUGAGACCCCUAGAUUCUUUGGCGCUGUGCCCUGCUGCAGUCAGUGCCCUGAACUACCUGCCGCAUAGCCCUGCUUAGAGGGCCCAGGGCCUAAGAGACUGCUAAUCCCCCCCUCUAAUCUUUGCCUAGAGAGGGGUCUGAGCAUGAGGGGGCAUGGCCACCCUCUGAGAUUGAGGAGGAGGAACAGCCAUGCACUCCUACCAUGUGUCUGUUUCCUGGAAAUGUAGGGUUGUUCCUGCCACCCCCUCCUUUGGUUGAGGAAAGAGGGUGCUCAGGAGCCACAGCUCACCUUGGCAGUGGGAUUGUUUAGUCUGUCUCCCACAUUCUGCCUGUUGUUAGUUGCUGCCUCUGCCUGUGCUGGGAUAUGUAAGCCCCACACUGGGGAACCAAGGGUUAAUAAGCAGCGCUGUGCUCAGAAGGCCCCACCUCAGGUGCACUCACAAUGGAGGCAGAGCUCAGAAAGGAGCAGCCUGGCUGAGUCAGGGCAGGCAGAGAAGGGAGCAGUCCUAAGCUGGUAUCUCCUGCAGAGAGGCUAUGGGAGCUCCAUACUGCCUGGACCGGACCCCGCUGCUGAGCCAGCAGAGGCCCCAUGGAGACUGGGAAUAGAGAGCCGCAAUUGGAGAAGAAUCUCUGGAUGAUGGCCAGGAGGACACCCGCCCCCGCACCCGUGAGUCCAUAAACUGGCCCCUGCUGUGACUUUGGAGGGGCAGAGGCUGUGGGAGGAAGCACGAGCAGGAGUGUGUGAGAGGGGAGGGCUCCUGCCUCAUACUGAGAAUGAGGGGCGAUCAGCGGGUUAUCUCAAGUGCCUAUAUA
Molecule: long non-coding RNA, 6764 nt
Organism: Chelonia mydas (Green sea turtle)
Lineage: Eukaryota; Metazoa; Chordata; Testudines; Cheloniidae
Exons: 3
Source: RefSeq, a predicted model, not a curated record